UACGAAGGGGGCUAGCGUUGUUCGGAAUCACUGGGCGUAAAGAGCGCGUAGGCGGCCAUGCAAGUCAGGGGUGAAAUCCCGGGGCUUAACCCCGGAACUGCCUUUGAAACUGCGUGGCUAGAGUUCGGUAGAGGGUGGUGGAAUUCCUAGUGUAGAGGUGAAAUUCGUAGAUAUUAGGAGGAACACCGAUGGCGAAGGCAGCCACCUGGGCCGAGUCUGACGCUGAGGCGCGAAAGCGUGGGUAGCAAACAGG
Molecule: ribosomal RNA, 253 nt
Filed under: uncultured bacterium
Lineage: Bacteria
Description: partial 16S ribosomal RNA
Rfam family: Bacterial small subunit ribosomal RNA
Source: RNAcentral